Molecule: long non-coding RNA, 203 nt
Filed under: Elaeis guineensis (African oil palm)
Lineage: Eukaryota; Viridiplantae; Streptophyta; Magnoliopsida; Arecales; Arecaceae
Description: long non-coding RNA (EGUI_LNC024457)
Source: RNAcentral
CCUACGAGGCAAGUAACAUUUACAUUUAUAACAUUUAAGCAGAACUAAAUAAAAAAAAUUAUUUCAUCUAUUUGAAAUAAUACAAAGAUCACAAUUGUAUUUACUUUCAUCAUAUAUAGCAUGUUGCAUAGAAUUUCUAUAAUCAUAAAUAGAUGACUUAUAGUUUGAAUGUUAUAAAUUGAAAUAAAUAAAGGUACAUGCUA